GUUCAGUACAACUUCCAAUGCAGACAAUUCAGAGAGCUACUGUUUAACAAUACCCUGUGAGACUAUUAUGAAUGGGUUUCUGUGCCUGGGGAUUACAGUUCACUCUGAACACUGCCACCAGAAUGUGAACCACCUCUAGAUUAUCUGGCCAUCUUUUAAACAUCUGAACAUUGUUUCCUAAGCUUCCAGCGUGCAUCAAUUUCAAACUGACCAAUGUCAGUUCCCUGAGUCUCACAUCGCCCUUGGAGGACCUAGGUACCGCAUCUGGCCUCUCACCAUUCCUUUCACGUCUCGUCACUCCAUACCAUCACAAUCUGCUCAUUCUGGGGCACUUCCCAAAUUAUACAUCAGGAAAGUGAACCAUGUUCCAGUUUUCACAUCAGAAUGAACAAGGCCGGGCCUGCUAAUCAGCUGGAAAUGAUCAACGCUGCUCUCUUCACCACAAAACUCUGCCCCUGGUCUUGGGCUCUUUUGUCUACAGUUCUUGGGGCUACUCACAAAGCAAAAACCACCCAUCGCUCUUGAUGCUCAGAUAAUGCUUCUGUAUCCCUGUUCCUCCCCGUCUCCCACCCCCUAAAUACAACUCAUCAAGUAGGAUUUCAAGCUGGAAGGAAUUAAAAGGGAAAAUUUGUAUAUAAUAUAUAUAUGAUGCAUAAAAUAUAUGUGUAUAUCAGAC
Phascolarctos cinereus (koala) is the source of this 676-nucleotide long non-coding RNA. Lineage: Eukaryota; Metazoa; Chordata; Mammalia; Diprotodontia; Phascolarctidae. The record is from Ensembl.